Molecule: ribosomal RNA, 254 nt
Filed under: uncultured bacterium
Lineage: Bacteria
Description: partial 16S ribosomal RNA
Rfam family: Bacterial small subunit ribosomal RNA
Source: RNAcentral
CACGUAGGGUGCGAGCGUUGUCCGGAAUUAUUGGGCGUAAAGAGCUCGUAGGCGGUGUGUCGCGUCGGCCGUGAAAACCUGCAGCUUAACUGUGGGCUUGCGGUCGAUACGGGCAUCACUGGAGUUCGGCAGGGGAGACCGGAAUUCCUGGUGUAGCGGUGAAAUGCGCAGAUAUCAGGAGGAACACCGGUGGCGAAGGCGGGUCUCUGGGCCGAUACUGACGCUGAGGAGCGAAAGCGUGGGGAGCGAACAGG